GACGAACGCUGGCGGCGUGCUUAACACAUGCAAGUCGAACGAUGAAGCCCAGCCUGAUGGGUGGAUUAGUGGCGAACGGGUGAGUAACACGUGGGUAACCUGCCCCAAACUCUGGGAUAACUCCUCGAAAGAGGUGCUAAUACCGGAUACGAACUAGGUAGACAUCUGCACUAGUUGGAAAGUUUUUCGGCUUGGGAUGGGCCCGCGGCCUAUCAGCUUGUUGGUGAGGUAACGGCUCACCAAGGCUACGACGGGUAACCGGCCUGAGAGGGCGACCGGUCACACUGGGACUGAGACACGGCCCAGACUCCUACGGGAGGCAGCAGUGGGGAAUAUUGCGCAAUGGGCGAAAGCCUGACGCAGCGACGCCGCGUGAGGGAUGAAGGUCUUCGGAUCGUAAACCUCUUUCAGUAGGGACGAAGCGAAAGUGACGGUACCUAAAGAAGAAGCACCGGCUAACUACGUGCCAGCAGCCGCCGUAA
This 482-nucleotide ribosomal RNA is filed under the name uncultured bacterium. RNAcentral describes it as "partial 16S ribosomal RNA". It matches the Rfam family "Bacterial small subunit ribosomal RNA", at positions 28 to 523 of the family's 1533-position model. The record is from RNAcentral.